RNAcentral lists this long non-coding RNA (1219 nucleotides) under Helianthus annuus (common sunflower). Its description in RNAcentral is "hypothetical non coding rna". Lineage: Eukaryota; Viridiplantae; Streptophyta; Magnoliopsida; Asterales; Asteraceae. The record is from RNAcentral.
ACAAACACUCUCUAAUCUCUCCAAAAUCACUCUCAAAACUCUUGCAAAUCAGAAAUUCGGGCAGAUUCAUACCCCUUCACGAAAAUGAGCAUAACUCACUCAAUUCUUAUCCGAUUCACUCGAUUCUUUUUCCUACUUGCUUGUAUAAUCAUGGGGUUCGAUUCCUAGACUUCUCCUUGGAGAAAUCAGACCUGGAAAUGCCCCGAAAUCGUCCAUAAACUUUCUGUUUGUUUUUAUGUUCAUCAAAAACUUGUUUAAACCUAUGUAACUUGUGUUCAACACAUCUCAUACCUAUGUCCUAAUGCUUACAACUUAUCCCAUGGUUGGUUAAGCUUAAAAACAAGGUUGAGACAUUUAAAAUCAGAGGAUUAAACCUCAUAAACUUGGUGUUUUGUUUAGGGUUUCAACCCACAAAUCAUGUCAAACAUAGCCUUUGAUACAUGAGUGAUUAUGGAACAACUUGGGUUGUCCUACAUACAAUCCUCACAUGAUUCGAUGAUUUCUCAAUAGUUAGGUUGUUUAUGUUAUUGUGCAAAUCCUAGUUCGUGACCCUCCUUGGUUGUUGUUACACCAAGUGAAGUGGUGAACAUUCAAGGGGUUCCUAAAUGGAAGCAUGUCCUUCCUACCCCAUACAUGACAUCUAUGAUAACACGAGGUGCCUAAAUGAAGAUUCUAAUCUUCUACCUCCUACUUGAAUUAUUGGACUAAAUAAUAUGUAGUACUUAACCUAGAUAUAUAUAUACACUCAUUCGAACCUUUAAUGUUGAACUCAUGUUUAUAUGUUAAAGUAGUAGAACAUCACCUAAGACCUAAACCUUGUUGUGAUUCUUAUGGGUGUUCAAUUCAUGAAAAUAUUAUCAUAACCAUUGUGGUUACCAAGUGUCAUACAAGUGUUAUGGGUUGAAGAUGAUUACUUUCACAUGCUAUUCUCAUAUCUUACUUUUAUGUUGUUUUUAAAUACCGAAUCUCGACUCUAAGCAUACAUGAACUUUAACCCUACACAUUCAACCUUCUAACCUCAUCAACUUGUCAACAAUUGGAUAAUCGGAAAACAUAUGCAAACUUUGUGCAUGUUGACGAUGCAUGGAAUCUAGUAGGAUGCUUAGAUACACACUUAGAAAGAAUUGUAUUUGUAUUGUAUCAUUUUAUUAUUCAUGUUGUUGUACCUUGUUUCAAAACCUUGUACUUGAUUCUUUAGAAAUGAAAUGAAAUGAUUAUU